UGCCCAAGUUUUUGGCUUAGACAUCUUGGUGGACAGUGGUGCCAAUUAUUGAGAUGGUGAAAGGGGAACAGGCUGAGGAGUUCCCUGGAGACCAAUGCUCAUGGAAGAGGGGCAGGAGGCAGGAAUGGGCAGAGGGAGAAGAUGAGCACAGGCCCGGCAGUGGCCUUGGCCGGCUGGAUGAGGAACUCCAGUGCUGGACACGCCUCUUCUAGAGCUGUCAUGAGGACUGUGACGCUCAGAGAGGCUAAGCAACUCACCCAAAGUCACACAGCUGGAAAGUGCCAAACAUAUGCAGAAUUUCAAU
Molecule: long non-coding RNA, 304 nt
Organism: Homo sapiens (human)
Lineage: Eukaryota; Metazoa; Chordata; Mammalia; Primates; Hominidae
Exons: 3
Source: RefSeq, a predicted model, not a curated record